GGCAUUAAGACUUGCUCUUGACCGCUCCUUCUCCGCCUUUGGGUGCGUGGUAGGGUUAGCUGUAACUGGAUUGUUUUCCUACUUGGAAUGAAUCCGGCGCCAUCGCGUGUUUUGUGAGGCCAGUUCUGAGAAUAUGAAGCAGAGAGGAAGGGCCAAAAUUGAGGCGAAUAUGAAGCAUGCGGAUGGGACUUCGGGUGCGAUCUCUGAAACUGGAGGCUAGCUCUCUGAUUCGGAGACAAUGUAGGAGAUGUUGUCAUGGUUGGCGUUAAAAAUGUGAUUUCGGAGGAGCUUGAGCGAAGAGUAUGAAGUGAGCAUGCUCCGACAUUCAAAGAACCCCUUUCCGAAAGCUACUUUGCUACGAUGAGGAGUCAAGGAAAUAAGAUUCCAGCCAAAAAGAUUCGUAUCAAGGUAACUUCAAAGCGAAAAGGCCACAGCCGGCAUAAAAUGGGCAAAAUGGAAGGACUGAGACAUUGGGAAUGGAAGUGGAGUUCUGGCUAAUGUGUUCUUAAAAUGGUUUACAGCUAAUAUAACCAGUUGAGAGCCUGAAAAAAGAGAUGAUGAUUCAGGUGGUUUGGGAGCCAGUUAAAUAUUAUGAGAGCAUGUAUAUACAAAUAAGCAAUCUCCUUUCUUAGGAGAUAAUGGGAAAAGAUGUGGAUCUUGGAUAAGAAGUCUAAAUAUUCAGGGAAGGACUAAAAUUGAAGGUUGUUUUUCUUAGAGAAAAUCACUUAUUGUAUUUAUUUGAUCAAGAAUUAGAAGAUUUAUAUGUAAUAAGUUUUCGGCGGACACAACAUCUUUGUUUGUAUGUGGUGCUGAGGAUCGAACCCGGGCCGCACGCAUGCCAGGCGAGCGUGCUACCGCUUGAGCCACAUCCCCAGCCCGAGACUGAACUCUUUUACAAAAAUGGAUAAUCAAAAGAAGGAAUCGGUCAAUAAAGAUGACAGUGUAGCAAAGAAAUGAAAAUGGAUAAUGCUAGAAGUGAAAAUGGGUGUGAUUAGAAGAUUUGAAAGUGUCAGCUGCAAAGCCUGCAGGAAGCUACAGUGUGAACUGCAUUGCAUAUAUAGUUAGUUGCCGCCAUAUCUUAAUUUAAAUUGUGCUACUAACAGAAAGCCAUUUACAGUCAAAAUUGAAGACUGAUCAAAAACAGAUCCCAGUUUGGCUAGCUAGCAUUCAGGCCCAAGCACUGUUGUUAGCUGUUGCAAUGAAAGAAAAUAAUUACAAUGAAACUGAAAAUAAAAAUUUUACUGCCAGUAAAGCUGGAUUCAUUAUUUCAGAAGUCAACAUGAAUUGGUUAAUGCUAAUCUACUUGGUUAAGUUGCAAACUCAGAUAAAGGCACUACUAUGAAAUUUGUACCCAGAUUCCCAGAUACAAGUAGUCCUACUUAAUGUAGGACUCCAUUGAGUCCACCUUGUAGGAUUUCAAUGCAGUGUUAUAGAAGAUAGAGUGGACUGGGAAGGAAUUUGAUACUGCUGCUGGUCAAGAGCCAGUUGAAGAAAAGCCAGAUGAGCUUAGUGAAGGUGAACCUCUUGGCAUGAGUGAUAGAAGUGGUUGUGACAUAAAAGAUGAACAUACCUCAGAGGAAGUGAUGCCAGCAAAAACCUUUCACAUCAAAUUCUCAGAGAUAACUUCAUGACCUUGAAAGGAAAAAGGGUAAAAUUUGUGGUUCCUAUGUCAAGGCAUAGGAAAGAUGUUCAAUGCUUAUUGUAAGUAAUAUGAAGACAAGUACUAUUUAAACUACUCUUGAUAAAUUAUUUAUAUUUUUAAAAAACUGUAAUUUUCAGCUUCUAAUGUUUUUAAUUAUAGUGAAUUAAAUGCUAGUUUUACAAAAAAGUUGCAGAGUAAUAUUUUUGCAUUUAAAAUAAAUAUCAAGAUUUUAAUUUUU
Long non-coding RNA from Marmota monax (woodchuck), 1880 nucleotides. RefSeq lists it as uncharacterized. The transcript is spliced from 7 exons. The record is from RefSeq and is a predicted model, not a curated record. NCBI's taxonomy places the organism in Eukaryota, Metazoa, Chordata, Mammalia, Rodentia, Sciuridae.